GACACUGAUCCGACCUGCUGUCUGGAGACGUCUUAAAGGGGCACUACGUAGUUUUAGAGACGAUAGUAUUAUUGAGGUAAUAAUUAGGUCCUCAGAGCACCGUGUGCAGCUAGAAAAGGUGGCAGGGUCCGCCACACAUAAACAAAGUAAAGCAGUGUGAAAGUGUGUGUCGUCCCUUUAAGGUCAGUUUGUUUAUUUGGUUUAUUCCAUCAUGAAAACAGGCGUAGUGCUGCCUCUUAAAGUCCUGACUUUAGUUUGCAAAUCAAUCAGUGAAUCAAUUUUCUUCCCCAAAAACUGCAGUGUACCCCGUUGCACUACGUAGUCUGUGAGGCAAAAUUCAAACUCAGAAUUCUUAUAUUUACAAUAUUGAUGAGGCAAUAAUACAAACUCAGUAAUAUAGAUUUUUUUUUUUCCCACCACUGAAUAAAUGAGCUGUUCUCAGAGGAACAUAAGGUCCCAGAGCACGAAAGGCGGCAGGGUCCGCCACGUAUGAACAAAGCAGAACAGUAUGAAGGUGUGUUGUCCUUUGAGGUCAGUUUGUGUAUUCAGUUAUAGGAAACUAGAGUUUGUUUAUUUUCUUUCUCUUUUGAUUUAAUUGUUUAUUUAGGAGCGACGAUGCACAGUGCAUGUCUUGUACCGGAUGUAGCUAAUAGCUAAUUUUCAGCUGUAGUAUUAAUGAUAAAAAUAAAUUCCCAUCGUCAUGCUUUUCUCAACAGCAAAUUGGCUUAACAAAUGAGAAAUUAACAUUUCUUGUAGCUGUAAAUUAAUAUUUUUUGUAGCUGAUUUAAGUUUCUGAAUAUUGAAUUAAACUGGACACCCAGUGGAAGACAUUUUUGGAGAGAAGACAGUGUUCAGACUGCAGGCAAAUCAUUUUUUUCUCUCAAAUUAGAUCUUUAGAACAGAAUGUCCCCACUAUGAUUUGCAGAUGAUUGGAUCAGAUUUUUGUGUCUAGACACAACCAACCUAUCUGCAUGGGUUGCUGCGGUGAUGAUGGGCAUCAGUAACUAUGUGCAAUGGUGACACGGAAGCUCAUGACAUUGAGAUCCAUCAUCUCGCCCUCCAAGCGAUCGUGAUGUGAAGUCGCGGGACAGACAAUUUACAUUUCGACGCGUGUCAAAAAGACACCCUGAAAUCCAGUUUGAGCAGCCAGAGCGUCCGCGCCGAAUUGCAUUUCAUACCAUCUCCAAAUGUGGCCUAAAGUUGCAUCGUUUAAAACAAUCGAUCUGUCAAUCCAGUGGUUUUGGCUUGACUGAAACAAACAUAAUUUCAUGCUAAAAUGCCCAAACUAGCCAAAAUAAGUGAGUGUUUCUCAUCAGGGCAGAGCUUCAAUCAGCGGCACACAAAGUAAAUCAAAUACAUAAUGAAACAUUCUCAUUAGAAGGCAUUCAACCCCAAAAUUGCUAAAUCGGAUUGAUUUAUAUAAAUUGAUACAGUGUAGACGUACUUUAAUGUGCCUGAAGAAAAUAAUCAUGAGUAUUCAUCAGUCAUUACCGGCCAGCAGAUCAGACUGAGGUUGUACUUGGCAGUUCUCAAGUGUGAAUGUUUGUCAGUGACUAUGAGUGAUCAAGGCAUUGCUGAAAAGAAAGUCUCACCACUCCUCAGUAAAACUUUUCCUCCACGCUGGAUCCUCGACCAGCGUCUCUUUUCAUCAUCACAAUGUCUCCACACUUUCUCUUCUCCUCUGUCAAACAGCCAGACAGGCCAAAGCAUCCAUGCCUGUACAAACCAGUCCGAGUCCCCCGGAGGACCCGAGCUCCUCGCUCUUGCCAGAGCAACAGGAGACCCUCUGCUUGACAGCCUCCCUGCCAGAGAAACUAAUCAGCCACAGGAUCCAGGCUGUUCCAGGGCCAGAUUCACGACAAGAAUAAUCUGCCUCACACACGCGCCAGUUGGGUCCGCAGACCUCGAGUACUCGAGCAGACUCCUUUCUGCCCACCAACUGUCUGCCGCUACUAAGAUGGUGACUGUGAGCCAAAGGAAGUGGACCCAGCAGAAGCCCGCCAGCUGGACGAGGCGGCAAGACAUGGAGGAGCAAAUUGCGCGCAGAAAGAUGCUCGGCUGGUGCUGAAGCCAGGAAAGCAGAUGUCAUCAAAGUUAGAGAGAACACAGUCGCCGAAUAUCAAUUAUUCAGCCAUUAAAAAUUAAUGCGCUUGGUUUUUCGGUGUAAUAUUGCACUGAAUGAUGGAUAUAUUUAUUGGGUGUCUUACAAUUGAUGUCUCUUCAUGAUUAGAUUGUAGCAUACUCACAAUCAUAUGACAGGAGAUGAAUUGAAGGUUAUUGAACCAGCAAUUCCAUGAUUAACGCCGUAAAUGGAUGUGAAUUAAUAAGAGUUUUGGCAUCAUGAUGAUGCAUGUUGAAGAGAUCUUUCCUGAAGUUAGCAUGCUAACCAGCUAGCCCGACCUGUCCCAGUCCAAAGCUCCCGUGCCAUCGGUGUGCAGCAAUUAGAGAAUACUUUGGUGCCCCUGUUUGUUUUGGGAAUGGAUUCUUCACAUGGUCAGUUCUUGAUUUUUGCAUCUCACUCCCACUCGUCAAGUAACGGCGCUUUGGGAUGGCGGCCGACGCGUCCAACAAACCCAGGCCGUUUUUAUUUGACGAGUUGGGAAUGAGACUCAAAAAUCAACUUUUCUUGCAGCUAGGACCUUUUAAGUAUUCCAUCUAUAAAAAAAAAACAAAAAAAACCCCCAAAAACUACUGGUAUAUUAAUAUAUCUUAGGCACUGUCUUAUCAAACCUGGUGUAAUUAAAGAUGGCAGAAUUUAAUUUGACUUUAUCAAUUACACGACAUGAUCAGCUGAUGUUCUUUAUAACCUCGAUGACAUAUUACAUCCGAUUGUGUAACUAAAAAAGAAAAAUGUCACUGAGUCUGCAAACGUCAAACUUAAAGCAGAUUUGCACAACUGAUGUACAAGAAUACAGUUAUAUCGUGCUCACUUUUUUAAACUCACACGUGUUACUAAUGACAUCAACAAUCGCUCUGCUCUGUCAAAACAUCUCAGUAAGCUGCGACAGUGAGGCAACAUGAACACUACUGAGACACUUUUCCUCCUUUGACCUUUCAGAAAAGGUCUCUGAUGUGUCCCUCUGUGCCACAAAACAUCUUGAUGUUUUUUUGUUUUUUUUUUGCAUUUUCUGAAUAUUUCAACAAGGUAUGGGAUCUAGAGGAGAAUAGUGAUAAAUUCCUUCUUCAUUUUUGGACUUUACAUUGUUUGGAUUUGUGCGUUGUGUCUUGUGCUUAAAGGGCUGUGUUUGCUUUUUGUGUAUCUGUUCUUCUUCUUCUUUUGUUCUUCUGGAAGGAACAAGUAUGUCUGUCACUUAAAAUAAAGUUUUUAGUGUUC
This is a long non-coding RNA of Acanthopagrus latus (yellowfin seabream), 3334 nucleotides long. RefSeq lists it as uncharacterized. The record is from RefSeq and is a predicted model, not a curated record. Lineage: Eukaryota; Metazoa; Chordata; Actinopteri; Spariformes; Sparidae. The transcript is spliced from 2 exons.